Molecule: non-coding RNA, 23 nt
Filed under: Rattus norvegicus (Norway rat)
Lineage: Eukaryota; Metazoa; Chordata; Mammalia; Rodentia; Muridae
Source: RNAcentral
GGGCUGCACUUGACCAUGCCAGU